Molecule: non-coding RNA, 31 nt
Filed under: Rattus norvegicus (Norway rat)
Lineage: Eukaryota; Metazoa; Chordata; Mammalia; Rodentia; Muridae
Source: RNAcentral
UAAGAUGGUUUCCCUGUGAGGUACUCAGACU